GGGUUGUAAACCUCUUUUCACAGGGAAGAAUAAUGACGGUACCUGUGGAAUAAGCUUCGGCUAACUACGUGCCAGCAGCCGCGGUAAUACGUAGGAAGCAAGCGUUAUCCGGAUUUAUUGGGCGUAAAGUGAGCGUAGUGGUCUUUCAAGUUGGAUGUGAAAUUUCCCGGCUUAACCGGGACGAGUCAUUCAAUACGUUGGACUAGAGUACAGCAGGAGAAAACGGAAUUCCCGGUGUAGUGGUAAAAUGCGUAGAUAUCGGGAGGAACACCAGAGGCGAAGGCGGUUUUCUGGUUGUCACUGACACUGAGGCUCGAAAGCGUGGGGAGCGAACAGAAUUAGAUACUCUGGUAGUCCACGCCUUAAACUAUGGACACUAGGUAUAGGGAGUAUCGACCCUCUCUGUGCCGAAGCUAAC
Molecule: ribosomal RNA, 418 nt
Filed under: uncultured bacterium
Lineage: Bacteria
Description: bacterial SSU rRNA
Rfam family: Bacterial small subunit ribosomal RNA
Source: RNAcentral